ACAUGAUGAGACAACUAGCUGGCACCAGUCAGAGCAAGUUGGAUAUUCGUAUCCUUCUUAAUGCUGAUUAGCUUCCUGAUCCGGGAACGCUACCCAGAUCCUGAA
Aspergillus versicolor CBS 583.65 is the source of this 105-nucleotide small nucleolar RNA. It matches the Rfam family "A. fumigatus snoRNA Afu_190". NCBI's taxonomy places the organism in Eukaryota, Fungi, Ascomycota, Eurotiomycetes, Eurotiales, Aspergillaceae. The record is from Rfam.